GACCUCAAAUCAGGUAGGACUACCCGCUGAACUUAAGCAUAUCAAUAAGCGGAGGAAAAGAAACUAACGAGGAUUCCCCUAGUAACUGCGAGUGAAGCGGGAAGAGCUCAAAUUUCGAAUCUGGCG
This 126-nucleotide ribosomal RNA is filed under the name Scleroderma meridionale. RNAcentral describes it as "partial 25S ribosomal RNA". It matches the Rfam family "Eukaryotic large subunit ribosomal RNA", at positions 1 to 127 of the family's 3401-position model. The record is from RNAcentral. Lineage: Eukaryota; Fungi; Basidiomycota; Agaricomycetes; Boletales; Sclerodermataceae.